CGACGCCGCGUGAGGGAUGACGGCCUUCGGGUUGUAAACCUCUGUUAGCAUCGAAGAAGCGAAAGUGACGGUAGGUGCAGAGAAAGCGCCGGCUAACUACGUGCCAGCAGCCGCGGUAAUACGUAGGGCGCGAGCGUUGUCCGGAAUUAUUGGGCGUAAAGAGCUUGUAGGCGGUUGGUCGCGUCUGCUGUGAAAGGCUGGGGCUUAACCCUGGUUUUGCAGUGGGUACGGGCUAACUAGAGUGCAGUAGGGGAGACUGGAAUUCCUGGUGUAGCGGUGGAAUGCGCAGAUAUCAGGAGGAACACCGAUGGCGAAGGCAGGUCUCUGGGCUGUAACUGACGCUGAGAAGCGAAAGCAUGGGGAGCGAACAGGAUUAGAUACCCUGGUAGUCCAUGCCGUAAACGUUGGGCACUAGGUGUGGGGGACAUUCCACGUUUUCCGCGCCGUAGCUAACGCAUUAAGUGCCCCGCCUGGGGAGUACGGCCGCAAGGCUAAAACUCAAAGAAAUUGACGGGGGCCCGCACAAGCGGCGGAGCAUGCGGAUUAAUUCGAUGCAACGCGAAGAACCUUACCAAGGCUUGACAUAUACUGGACUGCGUCAGAGAUGGCGUUUCCCUUCGGGGCUGGUAUACAGGUGGUGCAUGGGUUGUCGUCAGCUCGUGUCGUGAGAUGUUGGGGUUAAGUCCCGCAACGAGCG
This 697-nucleotide ribosomal RNA is filed under the name Rothia dentocariosa. RNAcentral describes it as "bacterial SSU rRNA". It matches the Rfam family "Bacterial small subunit ribosomal RNA", at positions 392 to 1098 of the family's 1533-position model. Lineage: Bacteria; Bacillati; Actinomycetota; Actinomycetes; Micrococcales; Micrococcaceae. The record is from RNAcentral.